GAUGAACGCUGGCGGCGUGCCUAAUACAUGCAAGUCGAGCGAACGGACGAGAAGCUUGCUUCUCUGAUGUUAGCGGCGGACGGGUGAGUAACACGUGGAUAACCUACCUAUAAGACUGGGAUAACUUCGGGAAACCGGAGCUAAUACCGGAUAAUAUUUUGAACCGCAUGGUUCAAAAGUGAAAGACGGUCUUGCUGUCACUUAUAGAUGGAUCCGCGCUGCAUUAGCUAGUUGGUAAGGUAACGGCUUACCAAGGCAACGAUGCAUAGCCGACCUGAGAGGGUGAUCGGCCACACUGGAACUGAGACACGGUCCAGACUCCUACGGGAGGCAGCAGUAGGGAAUCUUCCGCAAUGGGCGAAAGCCUGACGGAGCAACGCCGCGUGAGUGAUGAAGGUCUUCGGAUCGUAAAACUCUGUUAUUAGGGAAGAACAUAUGUGUAAGUAACUGUGCACAUCUUGACGGUACCUAAUCAGAAAGCCACGGCUAACUACGUGCCAGCAGCCGCGGUAAUACGUAGGUGGCAAGCGUUAUCCGGAAUUAUUGGGCGUAAAGCGCGCGUAGGCGGUUUUUUAAGUCUGAUGUGAAAGCCCACGGCUCAACCGUGGAGGGUCAUUGGAAACUGGAAAACUUGAGUGCAGAAGAGGAAAGUGGAAUUCCAUGUGUAGCGGUGAAAUGCGCAGAGAUAUGGAGGAACACCAGUGGCGAAGGCGACUUUCUGGUCUGUAACUGACGCCGAUGUGCGAAAGCGUGGGGAUCGAACAGGAUUAGAUACCCUGGUAGUCCACGCCGUAAACGAUGAGUGCUAAGUGUUAGGGGGUUUCCGCCCCUUAGUGCUGCAGCUAACGCAUUAAGCACUCCGCCUGGGGAGUACGACCGCAAGGUUGAAACUCAAAGGAAUUGACGGGGACCCGCACAAGCGGUGGAGCAUGUGGUUUAAUUCGAAGCAACGCGAAGAACCUUACCAAAUCUUGACAUCCUUUGACAACUCUAGAGAUAGAGCCUUCCCCUUCGGGGGACAAAGUGACAGGUGGUGCAUGGUUGUCGUCAGCUCGUGUCGUGAGAUGUUGGGUUAAGUCCCGCAACGAGCGCAACCCUUAAGCUUAGUUGCCAUCAUUAAGUUGGGCACUCUAAGUUGACUGCCGGUGACAAACCGGAGGAAGGUGGGGAUGACGUCAAAUCAUCAUGCCCCUUAUGAUUUGGGCUACACACGUGCUACAAUGGACAAUACAAAGGGCAGCGAAACCGCGAGGUCAAGCAAAUCCCAUAAAGUUGUUCUCAGUUCGGAUUGUAGUCUGCAACUCGACUACAUGAAGCUGGAAUCGCUAGUAAUCGUAGAUCAGCAUGCUACGGUGAAUACGUUCCCGGGUCU
Molecule: ribosomal RNA, 1372 nt
Filed under: uncultured bacterium
Lineage: Bacteria
Description: bacterial SSU rRNA
Rfam family: Bacterial small subunit ribosomal RNA
Source: RNAcentral